GACGAACGCUGGCGGCGUGCUUAACACAUGCAAGUCGAGCGGUAAGGCCCUUUCGGGGGUACACGAGCGGCGAACGGGUGAGUAACACGUGGGUGACCUGCCCUCAGCUCUGGGAUAAGCCUGGGAAACCGGGUCUAAUACCGGAUAUGACUCCAUGACGCAUGUUGUGGGGUGGAAAGCCUUGUGCGGCUGAGGAUGGGCCCGCGGCCUAUCAGCUUGUUGGUGGGGUGAUGGCCUACCAAGGCGACGACGGGUAGCCGGCCUGAGAGGACGACCAGCCACACUGGGACUGAGACACGGCCCAGACUCCUACGGGAGGCAGCAGUGGGGAAUAUUGGACAAUGGGCGAAAGCCUGAUCCAGCGAUGCCGCGUGUGUGAAGAAGGCCUGCGGGUU
RNAcentral lists this ribosomal RNA (395 nucleotides) under uncultured bacterium. RNAcentral's name for it is "bacterial SSU rRNA". It matches the Rfam family "Bacterial small subunit ribosomal RNA", at positions 28 to 424 of the family's 1533-position model. The record is from RNAcentral.